Molecule: ribosomal RNA, 405 nt
Filed under: uncultured bacterium
Lineage: Bacteria
Description: partial 16S ribosomal RNA
Rfam family: Bacterial small subunit ribosomal RNA
Source: RNAcentral
GAUGAACGCUGGCGGCGUGCCUAAUACAUGAAAGUCGAGCGAAGCGGGGACGGGUGAGUAACACGUGGAUAACCCCCUAUAAGACUGGGAUAACUUCGGGAAACCGGAGCCAAACCGGAUAAUUAUAGAAGGAUCGGCGCUGCAUUAGCUAGUUGGUAAGGUAACGGCUUACCAAGGCAAUGAUGCAUAGCCGACCUGAAAGGAGGAUCAGCCACCAUGGAACUGAGACACGGUCCAGACUCCUACGGGAGGCAGCAGUAGGGAAUCUUCCACAAUGGGCGAAAGCCUGACGGAGGUACGCCGCGUGAGUGAUGAAGGUCUUCGGAUCGUAAAACUCUUUUAUUGAGGAAGCGUUACCUAAUCAGGAAGCCACGGCUAACUACGUGCCAGCAGCCGCGGUAAUAC